GCCAGCAGGAGAAGAUAGAAAGAGAAUUUGGUUCACUUAGCUUUAGGAUAUUAAUUCAUGGAGAGACUAUCGGCUCCAUUGGCAUGUAUUUUAGUUUUGAUUUUAAGUUAUGUUUGGUAAAUUCGCUAGGAAAAGAGAAUUAUAAUUUUGUUGAAAGUAGUUGUUAAAUCUUAAAGACGAUAAGACACUUGACAGAGAAUUGUUACAGGAUAGCCAAGGAUGAAGGCCCCAGGGAGAAUUGGACAUGUGGAAAAUGAAAGGCGGCAUCCUACAAGAGAAGGUCUGACAUAAGGAUCAUUUACUAAUCUUACCAAAGACAUUGUUUAGAAAUGCAGCAAUAUUGAUACAUGGGCUGAGCCAUGUAUCAAUAGGGGGGAAGAAUGGUAGAGCAGGUGAUAGAACAGGUUAGGAUAAUUACUUAAACCUCCAGACUACACUAGAGACUAUUGAGACUCACCUCUAGACUACAGUAGAGACUAUUGAGACUCACCCCUAGACUAAACCAGACUAUUGAGACUCACCUCUAGACUACACUAGAGAAUAUUGACUAUUUCUUGAAUUGUUUAAC
This 568-nucleotide long non-coding RNA is filed under the name Salmo salar (Atlantic salmon). RNAcentral describes it as "lncRNA (ENSSSAG00000092746.1)". The record is from RNAcentral. Lineage: Eukaryota; Metazoa; Chordata; Actinopteri; Salmoniformes; Salmonidae.